RNAcentral lists this small nuclear RNA (22 nucleotides) under Arabidopsis thaliana (thale cress). Its description in RNAcentral is "snRNA_07047". The record is from RNAcentral. Lineage: Eukaryota; Viridiplantae; Streptophyta; Magnoliopsida; Brassicales; Brassicaceae.
AUUUCUCUACCAAGUGUCGUUA